CUGGCUCAGAACGAACGCUGGCGGCGCGUUUUAAACAUGCACAGUCGUACGAGAACCCCGGUGCUUGCAUUGGGGGGAGAGUGGCGAACGGGUGAGUAACACGUGGAUUAUCUGCCUUCAUGUCUGGGAUAACCCCGGGAAACCGGGGCUAAUACUGGAUAAUAUGGCAACAUUAAAGGUGGGGACCUUCGGGCCUAUCGCCUGAAGAUGAGUCCGCGUCCCAUUAGCUUGUUGGUGGGGUAAUGGCCUACCAAGGCGACGAUGGGUAGCCGGCCUGAGAGGGUGUACGGCCACAUUGGGACUGAGAUACGGCCCAGACUCCUACGGGAGGCAGCAGUUAAGAAUCUUGCGCAAUGGGCGAAAGCCUGACGCAGCGACGCCGCGUGGACGAUGAAGGCCUUCGGGUUGUAAAGUCCGGUAAGCGGGGAAGAAUAAGUGUAAAGUAAUAUCUUGCACGAUGACGGUACCUGCCUAAAGCCCCGGCUAACUACGUGCCAGCAGCCGCGGUAAUACGUAUGGGGCAAGCGUUGUUCGGAAUUAUUGGGCGUAAAGCGCGCCUAGGCGGAGUGCUAAGUCGGGGGUGAAAUCCCUGGGCUCAACCCCGGAAUCGCCUCUGAUACUGGCAGUCUAGAGUUCUGGAGAGGUGAGUGGAAUUCCCAGUGUACAGGUGAAAUGCGUAGAUAUUCGGAGGAACACCAGUGGCGAAGGCGGCUCACUGGCCAAAAACUGACGCUGAAGUGCGAAAGCGUGGGGAGCGAACG
This 761-nucleotide ribosomal RNA is filed under the name uncultured organism. Its description in RNAcentral is "bacterial SSU rRNA". It matches the Rfam family "Bacterial small subunit ribosomal RNA", at positions 19 to 774 of the family's 1533-position model. The record is from RNAcentral.